CCUACGGGUGGCAGCAGUGGGGAAUAUUGGACAAUGGGCGAAAGCCUGAUCCAGCCAUGCCGCGUGUGUGAAGAAGGCCUUCGGGUUGUAAAGCACUUUCAGUGGGGAAGAAAGCCUUGGGGCUAAUACCCUCGAGGAAGGACAUCACCCACAGAAGAAGCACCGGCUAACUCCGUGCCAGCAGCCGCGGUAAUACGGAGGGUGCGAGCGUUAAUCGGAAUUACUGGGCGUAAAGCGCGCGUAGGCGGUCUGAUAAGCCGGUUGUGAAAGCCCCGGGCUCAACCUGGGAACGGCAUCCGGAACUGUCAGGCUAGAGUGCAGGAGAGGAAGGUAGAAUUCCCGGUGUAGCGGUGAAAUGCGUAGAGAUCGGGAGGAAUACCAGUGGCGAAGGCGGCCUUCUGGACGGACACUGACGCUGAGGUGCGAAAGCGUGGGUAGCAAACAGGAUUAGAUACCCCUGUAGUC
RNAcentral lists this ribosomal RNA (465 nucleotides) under Vreelandella stevensii. RNAcentral describes it as "partial 16S ribosomal RNA". It matches the Rfam family "Bacterial small subunit ribosomal RNA", at positions 338 to 795 of the family's 1533-position model. The record is from RNAcentral. Lineage: Bacteria; Pseudomonadati; Pseudomonadota; Gammaproteobacteria; Oceanospirillales; Halomonadaceae.